Molecule: ribosomal RNA, 468 nt
Filed under: uncultured bacterium
Lineage: Bacteria
Description: partial 16S ribosomal RNA
Rfam family: Bacterial small subunit ribosomal RNA
Source: RNAcentral
GACGAACGCUGGCGGCGUGCUUAACACAUGCAGGUCGAACGGAAAGGCCCUGCUUUUGUGGGGUGCUCGAGUGGCGAACGGGUGAGUAACACGUGAGUAACCUGCCCUUGACUUUGGGAUAACUUCAGGAAACUGGGGCUAAUACCGGAUAGGAGCUCCUGCUGCAUGGUGGGGGUUGGAAAGUUUCGGCGGUUGGGGAUGGACUCGCGGCUUAUCAGCUUAUUGGUGGGGUAGUGGCUUACCAAGGCUUUGACGGGUAGCCGGCCUGAGAGGGUGACCGGCCACAUUGGGACUGAGAUACGGCCCAGACUCCUACGGGAGGCAGCAGUGGGGAAUAUUGCACAAUGGGCGGAAGCCUGAUGCAGCAACGCCGCGUGCGGGAUGACGGCCUUCGGGUUGUAAACCGCUUUCGCCUGUGACGAAGCGUGAGUGACGGUAAUGGGUAAAGAAGCACCGGCUAACUACGUG